CUUUUCACCUGGCUUGCUCAGUAAGCCUAAUUUCAAUUACAACUCCAUAUCCUGAGUAUGUAACACCUGAGUAAUUACAUAUUUCAUCUUUAUUAUUAUUAUUAUUAUUACAAUCUUAGAAUGCUAUUGCCCAAAUGCCCAUUAUACAAAGAUAAAUCCUUUGUGUAAAGUGGUACUAAAGCCUUUUUGAGCUCAUUGUUCUUGCAAUAAAACUGAACCAUUGCAAAUAUCAAUGAGUCACGUGUUUAACUGCAAGAAAAUAAGCAGAUGUAAGUAUAUACCUCUCUGAGCUUGAAGUCAUUCCUACCAACAAACAGAAGAUUUCUUUCAAUACGAUGCAGCUAAUAAUAGAUUGCAAUUCUACUUAAACCACUCAAAUUUGUUGAGACCACUUACCAUGAAUAUCUGGUCUUCAACCAAAUUUAAAAGAAGGUUAAUCAGAUCUUCACAAUGAUGGCUGUCCGAAAGUAUUCACACUGACACUCACCAAAUCUUCC
This 497-nucleotide long non-coding RNA is filed under the name Lupinus angustifolius (narrow-leaved blue lupine). RNAcentral's name for it is "long non-coding RNA (LANG_LNC002004)". The record is from RNAcentral. Lineage: Eukaryota; Viridiplantae; Streptophyta; Magnoliopsida; Fabales; Fabaceae.